RNAcentral lists this ribosomal RNA (162 nucleotides) under Pogostemon glaber. Its description in RNAcentral is "5.8S ribosomal RNA". It matches the Rfam family "5.8S ribosomal RNA". Rfam says of the family: 5.8S ribosomal RNA (5.8S rRNA) is a component of the large subunit of the eukaryotic ribosome. It is transcribed by RNA polymerase I as part of the 45S precursor that also contains 18S and 28S rRNA. The record is from RNAcentral. Lineage: Eukaryota; Viridiplantae; Streptophyta; Magnoliopsida; Lamiales; Lamiaceae.
AACGACUCUCGGCAAUGGAUAUCUCAGCUCUCGCAUUGAUGAAGAAUGUAGCGAAAUGCGAUACUUGGUGUGAAUUGCAGAAUCCCGUGAACCAUCGAGUCUUUGAACGCAAGUUGCGCCCGAAGCCACUAGGCCGAGGGCACACCUGCCUGGGCGUCACGC